Molecule: ribosomal RNA, 519 nt
Filed under: Triticum aestivum (bread wheat)
Lineage: Eukaryota; Viridiplantae; Streptophyta; Magnoliopsida; Poales; Poaceae
Description: partial small subunit ribosomal RNA
Source: RNAcentral
AUGGCUGCACGAGCGCUGACCGCUGCCGGCCGCCGGGUGGCCGGCCAGACCAGGCCGACGUCUCUUCUUGCCUCCUGCAGUAGGGCCAGGAACCACUCCUCGGCCAGCGCGCAGCCUGAGGAAUACCGCAGGGACGCCCAUGGCCCGGCGGCGGCGAUGACCGGGGCGCAGGUGGAGGCCGUGCUGAACCGCAAGAACGUCGAGGUGCUCCAGGACGAGGAGGAGCACGUCGCCACGGGCACCGUGCUGCCAGAUCGCCACGAGACCAUCGGCGCGCUGGACGGCGGCGAGGACGCGUCGUGGGUGCCCGACCAGGAUACAGGCGUCUUCGUCCCUGCCGAUGCCGGCGCUGACGGCCACGGCGGGGGCGCGCAUCCCGCCCCACCGCAGCACCUGUACGGAGGCGUGGGCGGGUCGGCGUCGGUGCUGGACCAGGCGGUGUUCGUCCGGGAGGACAUGGAGGACGCCGAGAGGCCCGCCAUGGACCUGACCGAUGCCAACGGCGGCAGCAACAACUAA